UUAAGUUCAGCGGGUAUCCCUACCUGAUCCGAGGUCCAUCAGAGAAAAAAGAUUUGUAUAGGCUGAAAAGGGCCGGCCAGCUUUCAAGCGGGUGACAAUGCCCCAUACGCAUUGAAAAGACCGGACUACGACCCUGCCACUGCCUUUGGGACUACUGUCCAACAAGACAGGGAGUCCAACACAAGCUGGGCUUGAGGUAU
RNAcentral lists this unclassified non-coding RNA (200 nucleotides) under Elaphomycetaceae sp. RNAcentral's name for it is "partial internal transcribed spacer 2". The record is from RNAcentral. Lineage: Eukaryota; Fungi; Ascomycota; Eurotiomycetes; Eurotiales; Elaphomycetaceae.